UUAAGCGACUAAGCGUACACGGUGGAUGCCCUGGCAGUCAGAGGCGAUGAAGGACGUGCUAAUCUGCGAAAAGCGUCGGUAAGGUGAUAUGAACCGUUACAGCCGGCGAUGUCCGAAUGGGGAAACCCAGUGCAAUUCGUUGCACUAUCGUUAACUGAAUACAUAGGUUAACGAGGCGAACCGGGGGAACUGAAACAUCUAAGUACCCCGAGGAAAAGAAAUCAACCGAGAUUCCCCCAGUAGCGGCGAGCGAACGGGGAGCAGCCCAGAGUCUGAAUCAGCUUGUGUGUUAGUGGAACGGUCUGGAAAGUCCGACGGUACAGGGUGAUAGUCCCGUACACCAAAAUGCACAGGCUGUGAACUCGAAGAGUAGGGCGGGACACGUGGUAUCCUGUCUGAAUAUGGGGGGACCAUCCUCCAAGGCUAAAUACUCCUGACUGACCGAUAGUGAACCAGUACCGUGAGGGAAAGGCGAAAAGAACCCCGGCGAGGGGAGUGAAAAAGAACCUGAAACCGUGUACGUACAAGCAGUGGGAGCACCUUCGGGUGUGACUGCGUACCUUUUGUAUAAUGGGUCAGCGACUUAUAUUCUGUAGCAAGGUUAACCGUAUAGGGGAGCCGCAGGGAAACCGAGUCUUAACUGGGCGUUAAGUUGCAGGGUAUAGACCCGAAACCCGGUGAUCUAGCCAUGGGCAGGUUGAAGGUUGGGUAACACUAACUGGAGGACCGAACCGACUAAUGUUGAAAAAUUAGCGGAUGACUUGUGGCUGGGGGUGAAAGGCCAAUCAAACCGGGAGAUAGCUGGUUCUCCCCGAAAGCUAUUUAGGUAGCGCCUCGUGAACUCAUCUUCGGGGGUAGAGCACUGUUUCGGCUAGGGGGUCAUCCCGACUUACCAACCCGAUGCAAACUACGAAUACCGAAGAAUGUUAUCACGGGAGACACACGGCGGGUGCUAACGUCCGUCGUGAAGAGGGAAACAACCCAGACCGCCAGCUAAGGUCCCAAAGUCAUGGUUAAGUGGGAAACGAUGUGGGAAGGCACAGACAGCCAGGAUGUUGGCUUAGAAGCAGCCAUCAUUUAAAGAAAGCGUAAUAGCUCACUGGUCGAGUCGGCCUGCGCGGAAGAUGUAACGGGGCUAAACCAUGCACCGAAGCUGCGGCAGCGACACUAUGUGUUGUUGGGUAGGGGAGCGUUCUGUAAGCCUGCGAAGGUGUGCUGUGAGGCAUGCUGGAGGUAUCAGAAGUGCGAAUGCUGACAUAAGUAACGAUAAAGCGGGUGAAAAGCCCGCUCGCCGGAAGACCAAGGGUUCCUGUCCAACGUUAAUCGGGGCAGGGUGAGUCGACCCCUAAGGCGAGGCCGAAAGGCGUAGUCGAUGGGAAACAGGUUAAUAUUCCUGUACUUGGUGUUACUGCGAAGGGGGGACGGAGAAGGCUAUGUUAGCCGGGCGACGGUUGUCCCGGUUUAAGCAUGUAGGCUGGUUGUCCAGGCAAAUCCGGAUAAUCAAGGCUGAGGUGUGAUGACGAGGCACUACGGUGCUGAAGUAACAAAUGCCCUGCUUCCAGGAAAAGCCUCUAAGCAUCAGGUAACAUUAAAUCGUACCCCAAACCGACACAGGUGGUCAGGUAGAGAAUACCAAGGCGCUUGAGAGAACUCGGGUGAAGGAACUAGGCAAAAUGGUGCCGUAACUUCGGGAGAAGGCACGCUGGUGUGUAGGUGAAGUCCCUGCGGAUGGAGCUGAGACCAGUCGAAGAUACCAGCUGGCUGCAACUGUUUAUUAAAAACACAGCACUGUGCAAACACGAAAGUGGACGUAUACGGUGUGACGCCUGCCCGGUGCCGGAAGGUUAAUUGAUGGGGUUAUCCGUAAGGAGAAGCUCUUGAUCGAAGCCCCGGUAAACGGCGGCCGUAACUAUAACGGUCCUAAGGUAGCGAAAUUCCUUGUCGGGUAAGUUCCGACCUGCACGAAUGGCGUAAUGAUGGCCAGGCUGUCUCCACCCGAGACUCAGUGAAAUUGAACUCGCUGUGAAGAUGCAGUGUACCCGCGGCAAGACGGAAAGACCCCGUGAACCUUUACUAUAGCUUGACACUGAACAUUGAGCCUUGAUGUGUAGGAUAGGUGGGAGGCUUUGAAGCGUGGACGCCAGUCUGCGUGGAGCCAACCUUGAAAUACCACCCUUUAAUGUUUGAUGUUCUAACGUUGGCCCCUUAUCGGGGUUGCGGACAGUGUCUGGUGGGUAGUUUGACUGGGGCGGUCUCCUCCCAAAGCGUAACGGAGGAGCACGAAGGUUAGCUAAUCCUGGUCGGACAUCAGGAGGUUAGUGCAAUGGCAUAAGCUAGCUUGACUGCGAGCGUGACGGCGCGAGCAGGUGCGAAAGCAGGUCAUAGUGAUCCGGUGGUUCUGAAUGGAAGGGCCAUCGCUCAACGGAUAAAAGGUACUCCGGGGAUAACAGGCUGAUACCGCCCAAGAGUUCAUAUCGACGGCGGUGUUUGGCACCUCGAUGUCGGCUCAUCACAUCCUGGGGCUGAAGUAGGUCCCAAGGGUAUGGCUGUUCGCCAUUUAAAGUGGUACGCGAGCUGGGUUUAGAACGUCGUGAGACAGUUCGGUCCCUAUCUGCCGUGGGCGCUGGAGAAUUGAGGGGGGCUGCUCCUAGUACGAGAGGACCGGAGUGGACGCAUCACUGGUGUUCGGGUUGUCAUGCCAAUGGCACUGCCCGGUAGCUAAAUGCGGAAGAGAUAAGUGCUGAAAGCAUCUAAGCACGAAACUUGCCCCGAGAUGAGUUCUCCCUGAGACUUUAAGUCUCCUGAAGGAACGUUGAAGACGACGACGUUGAUAGGCCGGGUGUGUAAGCGCAGCGAUGCGUUGAGCUAACCGGUACUAAUGAACCGUGAGGCUUAACCUU
RNAcentral lists this ribosomal RNA (2900 nucleotides) under Klebsiella pneumoniae. RNAcentral's name for it is "bacterial LSU rRNA". It matches the Rfam family "Bacterial large subunit ribosomal RNA". Lineage: Bacteria; Pseudomonadati; Pseudomonadota; Gammaproteobacteria; Enterobacterales; Enterobacteriaceae. The record is from RNAcentral.